Molecule: RNA transcript, 2413 nt
Organism: Eurytemora carolleeae
Lineage: Eukaryota; Metazoa; Arthropoda; Copepoda; Calanoida; Temoridae
Gene name: basic salivary proline-rich protein 1
Exons: 2
Source: RefSeq, a predicted model, not a curated record
GUGGAAUCAGAUGAUAAACUUUAUGUUUAUAAACUAAAAUAUUAAAAACGAUCAACUUUCAUUAUAGGGAAAUCUGUGUCUAGUUUAAACCUUCGCAACAUCAGGGCGUUAAAAAGCGAUACUAUUCCUAAAACGACGAUAUGAAAAAUGUCCAUUCUUCCCUACAGAAGUCAUUUUGUCGGCAAACUUAAACUUAAUAGUCGAAAUCCAAUACCCGGAAGUGGAUCUAAAUAUAGUAUGCCUGAGGACUCAGGGAUGUUGGUAUAAAAGCCCCGCUUCAAGUCUAAGGUGAAGGGCCUGUGAUAGUUAUAAAAGUCAAAAUUUUUGAACAGCCUCAGUCCACUACUCUUUGAAUUAGCUCCCCCCCCCCCUCCAGCCGGAAUAGGGUUAGGAGUGUAAAGCAUUAUGAGAUUAAAAUUUAUUUUAUCAUGGCCGACCCCUUAAUCAUUAUUAAAGUUACAACAAGAUGGACUUAGUUGUCAGUGUCGAUUAAAGAUUUCUGAGAUUUUGGGACUGAUUAUUAUGCUUAGAGUUUAUGGAGCAGUACUCUUAAAAACUAAUCUUUCUGUAGCUACUCUAACAGGAAACAUUCUGCAACUACUCAACAGGAACCUUUCUGUAUCUUUACUAAACUAUUCUGUAGCUAAGAUAUUCAACAGAAACCAUUCUAUAGCUACUUUACUUUACAAGAACCGUACUGGAACUUCUCUUCUCAAUUGAACCAUUCUCUAGAUCUCAAUUGAACUGGAACCAUUCUGUAGCUUCUAUACUCAACAGGAACCAUUCUUUAGCUAAUAUACUCAACAGUAACCAUUCUGUAGCUACUAUACUCAACAGUAACUAUUCUGUAGCUACUAUGCACAACAGGAACCAUUCUAUAGCUACUCUACUCAACAGGAACCAUUUUGUAGCUAAUCUACUCAACAGGAACCAUUCUGUAGCUACUAUACUCAACAGUAACCAUUCUGUAGCUACUAUAUUCAAAGUGAACCAUUCUGUAGCUACUUUACGCAACAGGAACCAUUCUGUAGCUACUCUACUCAACAGGAACCUUUCUGUAGCUACUCUACUCAACAGGAACCUUUCUGUAGCUACUCUACUCAGAAGUAACAAUUCUGAUGCUACUCUUAUUACAGGAACCAUCCUGUACUGCUCUACUCAACAGGAGCCUUUCUGUUGCUACUUAACUCAACAGAACCAUUCUGUAACUACUAAACUAAGCAGGACCAUUCUACACUCUACAGCCACUUUAAGUAUAAGACCUAAUCAUGGCUAAAUAAUGCAGAGAUAAGCAAACACAUACAACCAAAAUGAUAUUUUUUUUCAUGAAAGAAAGGGUUAACCCAACCCAAACGACAAAUUACAUUAAACCUCUCGCUUGAAGACCCAAAACUCAGGUGUGAGGGAGGACUUGAGUGAAUGUCUAGGUAGCAGAGGGACCUUCCUUCUGUGCGGCUUGACCUGGGACCAUACUAACCAUGACAUGUGUGGUCCAAACAGGCUCCCUCGCUGAGGGGUUGAGUGACGUAUCGACUUAGACUGAUGAUUACUUUUCAAAAUUAAUUAGUUAAUAUCUUAAACGGAUAAGAGGGCUGAAGAUAGCAGUCAAAGGGAGAUGGGGCUACAGAACUUGCUACCUCUACUCCCCGAUAACACUUUUCAUUGCACUUGAUGAGUAUAAGAUGGAUUGGUGGGAUGAGUAGAUACUUGGGAAACAUUCAUGUUAAGAGGUUGUCAUAAUUAAAAAGUACUAAAGAGGAACCAUUCUGUAGCUACUCUACUCAACAAGAACUAAUUCUGUAGCUACUAUAUUCAAAAGAAACUCUUCUGUAGCUACUCUACUCAACAGGAACUAAUUCUGUAGCUACUAUAUUCAAAAGAAACUCUUCUGUAGCUACUCUAAUCAACGGAACCUAGUUUCUACAACUUCUUUGCACAGGGAUCUGUCUGUAACCUCCCUUCAGGUGGAUUCAUUGCAGCCAAUCUGACCUUCUUCUCUAUUACUGCAAAAUACACAGGAUUAAUAGUGGUAGAUCAGCUGAGCGAAUGGGCGGUCGACCCAUGGGAGCACCACCAAGGGACUAUCCACCAUCAGGGCGGAGUUACCCGCCACGAGGAGGCGGAGGGUUUGAUGAGAGGCGGGCGAGAACACCCCCGCCUCCCAACUACAGAUAAAUCAAGCUUCUGUGUUCCAAAGACUAAAUGUUUGUUGAAUCAUAACUGUAAUCGUUUUCAACCAAAUUGACUUAUUAAAUAAUUUUUUUUCAGGUAUAGUGCUUGAUAAUUCAAUUUAUAAAUAGUAUCAACAAAUGUUGAAAGCACAUUGCAUUUAAAUGUCAAUGUUUGCCAUUUUUGUAAAAAUAAUUUUCAUUUUUGUUGUAAAAUAUUCAAUAUAUAUGUGUGUAAUUUUUUA